UCGACCACGGACUCCCUUAGGUCCCCAUCAACCAGGAUGCCCACUCCAUUCUUACCCCUCUCAAGCCCAGAGUACCACAGCUUAAACCCAUCAACGUCCCGCGCCUUCGACCCUUUCCACCUAGUCUCCUGGACGCACGCUAUGUUAACCCUUCGCUGUUGCAGAACCUUCACCAACUCAAUGGACUUACCCGUCAGAGUACCUAUGUUCCAAGACCCAAUCCUUAGUCUAUGGACGUCCGCCGCCCUCUUACCAC
This 256-nucleotide long non-coding RNA is filed under the name Nicotiana benthamiana. RNAcentral's name for it is "long non-coding RNA (NBEN_LNC042453)". Lineage: Eukaryota; Viridiplantae; Streptophyta; Magnoliopsida; Solanales; Solanaceae. The record is from RNAcentral.